Molecule: ribosomal RNA, 301 nt
Filed under: uncultured bacterium
Lineage: Bacteria
Description: partial 16S ribosomal RNA
Rfam family: Bacterial small subunit ribosomal RNA
Source: RNAcentral
CAGCCGCCACGGUAAUACGGAGGGGGCUGGCGUUGUUCGGAAUUACUGGGCGUAAAGCGCACGUAGGCGGAUAUUUAAGUCAGGGGUGAAAUCCCAGAGCUCAACUCUGGAACUGCCUUUGAUACUGGGUAUCUUGAGUAUGGAAGAGGUUAGUGGAAUUGCGAGUGUAGAGGUGAAAUUCGUAGAUAUUCGCAGGAACACCAGUGGCGAAGGCGGCUAACUGGUCCAUAACUGACGCUGAGGUGCGAAAGCGUGGGGAGCAAACAGGAUUAGAUACCCGCGUAGUCCCUGUCUCUUAUAC